AGGACCUUCUGCCUAGUAACCCAGCUCUGGCCCCUGGGAUUUCCCAAGCAGCGGGCCUCAUCCUCCUGCCGGGGCUUCUGCGCCUACCCAGCUACAGGGCAUCCCAGUCCCUGACGCUGGGCGGGGGACAAGGGAGCGAGAGCCGGAGCGCUCACCUCUUCAACCCCUUAAAGGGUGGGGCAGUGCCAGCCAAGACGCCCCAACUCAGCCUGGGCCAGGGCUGUGUUGAAACAAGAGGCUACCCACGCUGCUGCCGCCCAGAGUGGCAGCGAAAAACGCAGCAGUGGGGCUAGUGCACCUGGAGGCCAGAGGUAGGGAAGGGGGACCAGGACCGGGAGGGACCGAAGAGGUAGGGAGAGAGAGGAGCCACCAGAAAGGUCCAAGGGACAGCUGGGCUGUGGGGAGGAGGGAGAAGGGAGGGCUGGGAAUGAAGGGCCACCUGCACCUGGGAACUUGGAGGCAAUGGGGGCAUCCCUCAGAAGCAGGCAAGAUGGAUGAGGAGGCCAGAGUGAGCGCAAAUCGAGCAGGGCUGGUACCUGGGCCAAGCAAAGAUGUGUGCUUCCAAGGGGACUGGCCUAGGCUCUUCAUCUCCGUACCAGUGCCCGGCGUGAUUCUGCCUGGGAAGGCAGUGGGCAUACUGGUGGGUAAUAGAAGGUGGGGGGCCGUGGGUAGGCCAGAGCAAGGCCUAACCUUCCCCUAGGGGCCAGGCCAGAGAGGGCAUGGGCUGGGCCAGUAACCCCAUGCAGAGGGAGAUGGUGCUGGGCAGAUGUGUCAGAGAUUCUCAGAGGGACAGGGCAGGCUCUGAGGGAAGCCCAGCCCACACCCAAUGCCCCAGUCUCGGGAUCACAUGUGCUUGUCCAGAACUUGGAAUUCUCCUUGCCCCUUCCCUUCUGGCCCCAGGAUGUCUUGGAAUCCAAACAACUGCAGCAGACAUUCACCAGACAUGUGUUACAGAGACCUGGGCAUUUUCAAGGCUCUGUGAUGGUCACCAAGGAGAUGCAGGGUACAAAGAUGAAUGUACAAGGUCAUCCCCGGCCUCGAGGAGCUUCUACUCACUUGGUCCAUGUUCUUUUACCAGCUAACAUUCCCUGAAGCACCUUAGGUGUCAGGCCCUGUGCUGGGCACUGCAGGUAACGAUUGGAGUCGGGCAUGCUAACAAACGUUAACAAGGUGCUUCCAGUCCCAGCCUGGAAAAAUCAGGGGAGCAUCACAGAGGGGGUGAUGCUUAGCUCAGAAAUGAGAGACUAAGUACUUCACCACGUACUACAAUAUUUCACUUGGUCUAAACCACCAUUUGCUCCGGGCCAGGAUACAAAAGGGUGUGGAUCCUGCCAUUCCACCCACACCAAGGCGACUUCUGGGCAGACUUGCAUCAGGAGACAGGGCCCUGACCCACAGGCAGCACAAUCAUGGACAAGUUGCUUCACCUCUCCAAGUCUCAGUUCUUCCAUCUGUAAAAUGGCUAUAACCCCGACCUGACAGGCUUGACAGGAGAAUUUAAGGAAAUCAUCUCUUCAAAAUGCCCAACACAAGUUUCUCGAAACAUGCCUGGUACCUGGGAGAUGCUCAAUAAAGAUUUUUGAAUGAAUAAAUGAAGAGAUAAAUCAACCCCAUGAUGCAAGGGAACACCAAAAUAGGAAGUCAUUGAACACCAAUCCGUGAGGAGCUAAGCCACCCAGCAGAUUAAGUACUUCCCCCAA
Molecule: long non-coding RNA, 1700 nt
Organism: Balaenoptera musculus (blue whale)
Lineage: Eukaryota; Metazoa; Chordata; Mammalia; Artiodactyla; Balaenopteridae
Exons: 3
Source: RefSeq, a predicted model, not a curated record